GCAAGUCGAACGCUGAAGCCGACAGCUUGCUGUUGGUGGAUGAGUGGCGAACGGGUGAGUAACACGUGAGUAACCUGCCCCUGAUUUCGGGAUAAGCCUGGGAAACUGGGUCUAAUACCGGAUAUGACCAAUCUUCGCAUGAGGGUUGGUGGAAAGUUUUUCGAUCGGGGAUGGGCUCGCGGCCUAUCAGCUUGUUGGUGGGGUAAUGGCCUACCAAGGCGACGACGGGUAGCCGGCCUGAGAGGGCGACCGGCCACACUGGGACUGAGACACGGCCCAGACUCCUACGGGAGGCAGCAGUGGGGAAUAUUGCACAAUGGGGGAAACCCUGAUGCAGCGACGCAGCGUGCGGGAUGACGGCCUUCGGGUUGUAAACCGCUUUCAGCAGGGAAGAAGCGAAAGUGACGGUACCUGCAGAAGAAGUACCGGCUAACUACGUGCCAGCAGCCGCGGUAAUACGUAGGGUACGAGC
This 472-nucleotide ribosomal RNA is filed under the name Brevibacterium iodinum. RNAcentral's name for it is "bacterial SSU rRNA". It matches the Rfam family "Bacterial small subunit ribosomal RNA", at positions 57 to 539 of the family's 1533-position model. The record is from RNAcentral. Lineage: Bacteria; Bacillati; Actinomycetota; Actinomycetes; Micrococcales; Brevibacteriaceae.